AGUGAACGCUGGCGGUAGGCCUAACACAUGCCAGUCGAACGGCAGCACAGUAAGAGCUUGCUCUUACGGGUGGCGAGUGGCGGACGGGUGAGGAAUACAUCGGAAUCUACUUUUUCGUGGGGGAUAACGUAGGUAAACUUACGCUAAUACCGCAUACGACCUACGGGUGAAAGCAGGGGAUCUUCGGACCUUGCGCGAUUGAAUGAGCCGAUGUCGGAUUAGCUAGUGGGCGGGGUAAAGGCCCACCAAGGCGACGAUCCGUAGCUGGUCUGAGAGGAUGAUCAGCCACACUGGAACUGAGACACGGUCCAGAAUCCUACGGGAGGAAGCAGUGGGGAAUAUUGGACAAUGGGCGCAAGCCUGAUCCAGCCAUACCGCGUGGGUGAAGAAGGCCUUCGGGUUGUAAAGCCCUUUUGUUGGGAAAGAAGAGCAGCAGGUUAAUACCCCGCUGUUCUGACGGUACCCAAAGAAUAAGCACCGGCUAACUUCGUG
Molecule: ribosomal RNA, 492 nt
Filed under: uncultured bacterium
Lineage: Bacteria
Description: partial 16S ribosomal RNA
Rfam family: Bacterial small subunit ribosomal RNA
Source: RNAcentral